This 164-nucleotide ribosomal RNA is filed under the name Persicaria orientalis. RNAcentral's name for it is "5.8S ribosomal RNA". It matches the Rfam family "5.8S ribosomal RNA". From Rfam's summary of the family: 5.8S ribosomal RNA (5.8S rRNA) is a component of the large subunit of the eukaryotic ribosome. The record is from RNAcentral. Lineage: Eukaryota; Viridiplantae; Streptophyta; Magnoliopsida; Caryophyllales; Polygonaceae.
AAAACGACUCUCGGUGACGCAUCUCUUGGCUCUCGCAUCGAUGAAGAACGUAGAGCAUUGCUUUACUUGUUGUGAAUUGCUUAAUCCCGUGAACCAUCGAGUCUUUGAACGCAAGUUGCGCCCGAAGCCUUUGGGCCAAGGGCACGUCUGCCUGGUCGUCACGC